GACGAACGCUGGCGGCGUGCUUAACACAUGCAAGUCGAACGGUGAAGCGCCUUCCUUUUUGGUGGGUGUGGAUGAGUGGCGAACUGGUGAGUAACACGUGAGUAACCUGCCCCCUUCUUCUGGAUAACCGCAUGAAAGUGUGGCUAAUACGGGAUAUUCUGGGUCUGUCGCAUGAUGGGUCUGGGAAAGAUCUUGUUUCGGUUGGGGAUGGGCUCGCGGCCUAUCAGCUUGUUGGUGGGGUGAUGGCCUACCAAGGCGGUGACGGGUAGCCGGCCUGAGAGGGUGGACGGUCACACGGGGACUGAGACACGGCGCAGACUCCUACGGGAGGCAGCAGUGGGGAAUAUUGCACAAUGGGCGCAAGCCUGAUGCAGCGACGCCGCGUGAGGGAUGGAGGCCUUCGGGUUGUGAACCUCUUUCGCCAGUGAAGCAGGCCUGCCUCGUUUGUGGGUGGGUUGACGGUAGCUGGAUAAGAAGCGCCGGCUAACUACGUG
Molecule: ribosomal RNA, 494 nt
Filed under: uncultured bacterium
Lineage: Bacteria
Description: partial 16S ribosomal RNA
Rfam family: Bacterial small subunit ribosomal RNA
Source: RNAcentral